GCGAACUUGGCAGAGAUGCCUUGGUGCCUUCGGGAACGCUGAGACAGGUGCUGCAUGGCUGUCGUCAGCUCGUGUUGUGAAAUGUUGGGUUAAGUCCCGCAACGAGCGCAACCCUUAUCCUUUGUUGCCAGCGAUUCGGUCGGGAACUCAAAGGAGACUGCCGGUGAUAAACCGGAGGAAGGUGGGGAUGACGUCAAGUCAUCAUGGCCCUUACGAGUAGGGCUACACACGUGCUACAAUGGCGCAUACAAAGAGAAGCGACCUCGCGAGAGCAAGCGGACCUCAUAAAGUGCGUCGUAGUCCGGAUCGGAGUCUGCAACUCGACUCCGUGAAGUCGGAAUCGCUAGUAAUCGUGGAUCAGAAUGCCACGGUGAAUACGUUCCCGGGCCUUGUACACACCGCCCGUCACACCAUGGGAGUGGGUUGCAAAAGAAGUAGGUAGCUUAACCUUCGGGAGGGCGCUUACCACUUUGUGAUUCAUGACUGGGGUGAAGUCGUAACAAGGUAAGCGUAGCGAG
RNAcentral lists this ribosomal RNA (518 nucleotides) under uncultured bacterium. Its description in RNAcentral is "bacterial SSU rRNA". It matches the Rfam family "Bacterial small subunit ribosomal RNA", at positions 991 to 1509 of the family's 1533-position model. The record is from RNAcentral.